This is a small nucleolar RNA of Nannospalax galili (Upper Galilee mountains blind mole rat), 132 nucleotides long. NCBI's taxonomy places the organism in Eukaryota, Metazoa, Chordata, Mammalia, Rodentia, Spalacidae. The record is from Ensembl.
GCACAAGUUGUAUUUAUGGCAGGCCUGUCACCCUGGGCCUCUCAUAGUCCCAUGCUAGAGUAAUCAGUGGCUUGGAACCUUCCCUGGUCUCUGUGCCUGUAGGCUGCUAGUACUGAAGUGGGCCACAGAGUC